CUGGGCGUAAGCGCGCGCAGGCGGCCGUUUAAGUCUGGGGUGAAAACCCGGGGCUCAACCUCGGGAUGGCCUUGGAUACUGGAUGGCUUGAGCGUCGGAGAGGCAAGGGGAAUUCCAUGUGUAGCGGUGAAAUGCGUAGAGAUAUGGAGGAACACCAGUGGCGAAGGCGCCUUGCUGGCCGAUUGCUGACGCUGAGGCGCGAAAGCGUGGGGAGCAAACAGGAUUAGAUACCCUGGUAGUCCACGCCGUAAACGAUGAGUGCUAGGUGUUGGCGGUUUUGACACCGUCAGUGCCGAAGCUAACGCAUUAAGCACUCCGCCUGGGGAGUACGGUCGCAAGACUGAAACUCAAAGGAAUUGACGGGGGCCCGCACAAGCAGUGGAGCAUGUGGUUUAAUUCGAAGCAACGCGAAGAACCUUACCAAGACUUGACAUCCCGCUGACCGGCUUAGAGAUAGGCCUUCCCUUCGGGGCAGCGGAGACAGGUGGUGCAUGGUUGUCGUCAGCUCGUGUCGUGAGAUGUUGGGUUAAGUCCCGCAACGAGCGCAACCCUUGAGCUGUGUUACCAGCAUUGAGUUGGGGACUCACAGCUGACUGCCGGUGACAAACCGGAGGAAGGUGGGGAUGACGUC
RNAcentral lists this ribosomal RNA (631 nucleotides) under uncultured bacterium. RNAcentral's name for it is "bacterial SSU rRNA". It matches the Rfam family "Bacterial small subunit ribosomal RNA", at positions 554 to 1186 of the family's 1533-position model. The record is from RNAcentral.